UACAUAGGGACCGAGCGUUGUCCGGAAUCAUUGGGCGUAAAGAGCGUGUAGGCGGCCACUUAAGUCCUGCGUGAAAUCUUGCGGCUCAACCGCAAGCGGUCGUGGGAAACUGGGUGGCUAGAGUGCGGGAGAGGAGGGUGGAAUUCCUGGUGUAGCGGUGGAAUGCGCAGAUAUCAGGAAGAACACCCGUGGCGAAGGCGGCUCUCUGGAACGCAACUGACGCUGAGACGCGAAAGCGUGGGGAGCAAACAGG
This 253-nucleotide ribosomal RNA is filed under the name uncultured bacterium. Its description in RNAcentral is "partial 16S ribosomal RNA". It matches the Rfam family "Bacterial small subunit ribosomal RNA", at positions 524 to 776 of the family's 1533-position model. The record is from RNAcentral.